RNAcentral lists this small nuclear RNA (103 nucleotides) under Tupaia belangeri chinensis (Chinese tree shrew). Lineage: Eukaryota; Metazoa; Chordata; Mammalia; Scandentia; Tupaiidae. The record is from RNAcentral.
GUGCUCAUUCAGCAGCACAUAUACUAAAAUUGGAAUGAUACAGAGAUUAGUAUGGCCCCUGCGCAAGGAUGACACGCAAAUUUGUGAAGUGUUCCAUAUUUAA